RNAcentral lists this long non-coding RNA (1312 nucleotides) under Zonotrichia albicollis (white-throated sparrow). Its description in RNAcentral is "lncRNA (ENSZALG00000016414.1)". Lineage: Eukaryota; Metazoa; Chordata; Aves; Passeriformes; Passerellidae. The record is from RNAcentral.
CAAGUCUUUGCCAGCAGGACCCAGAGGCUCGUGGUGGGAAUUUCUAUUCACUGCCACAUGGAGCAGGAUAUUGGUGUUAUAUACAUGGAGUCCAUUUAAAAUUCUUUUUCACAUGUUUUCCCAUUGCUGCCUGAUUCUUUUCUUUUCUCCAGGGAAGGGGUGACAGCUGAUAUGCCCUGAUGUGUCAGGGCUGGGGAUCUAACAUGCUGGACCCAUCCAGGGGGUACCUAUGGACACCAACUCAGCCUUGGGACCCACCACAGCCCCACACCUCUGCCCAGGGAUGGAAAAUGCACCCACAGCUGCCAGCCCGCAGGAAAACAAGCCUGUGGAAAUCAUCCCUUGAUCACAGAAUCAUUUAUGUCGGGACCUAAGACCUCUGAGAUCAUUCCAACCUUUGACUGAUCACCACCAUUUCAACUAAACCACAGCCCUAAGUACCAGAUCCAGCAAUUUAUUGGACACCUCCAGGGAUGCUGGCUUCAUCACCUCCCUGGGCAACCUACUCCAAUGUCUUACAACCUUUUCCAUGAGAAAAUUCCUCCUGAUGUCUGAUGGGAAUCUCUAAAGGAGCAAAUGGAUGCUGUGACCUCUUGUCCUAUCGUGCGUUGUCCGGGAGAAGAGCCUGACCCCCACCUGGAUCUACUUUCAAAUUGUUAGAGGGACAAGAUCUCCCCUGAGCCUCCUUUUCUCCAGGCUGAACACCCUCAGCUCCCUCAACUGCUCCUCAAAGGACUUCACCAGACCUGUUGUGAUUCCAACACCUCAAUGUCUUUCUUGAAAUGAAGGAAACAGCUGCUGAAUCUACUUCCUACACAGAUUCUUAUUUCACUGCAGACCUAAAGUGUGUAAUUUCAAAUGUAAAUAUUUCUGUAUGUGUGUCUGAUGUUAACAGGCUUCCAAUGGCAGCAUCAAUUGUGAGCUGAGUCUGUUAAGUGCUAUAUAUUUUGUAAUUUGUUAGGUAACUUUCACACAUACCUUUAUCUAGAGUCUUAUUUUAACUACUGCCGAUGGAAAAUGAGAAGAACACCACUCUAACCUCAUAUAAAAUGUGAUUGCAGUGGUCUUCUCUUCAUUGUCAUCAGCAGUAGUGGUCUGGUAUAUGAGAAUUCUGACACUUAAAAGCACAUUCUGGAAGUGUGGUGCUGAGUGAGAUGAAAAAGGAAUUGAGCAGCAGUGAGCUUAAAUUGACUCAUUUCAUGUAGUCAUUACCUUACAAGUCUUGUAGCACUGGUUCAUUGAAAUUCCCAUUAUUGCCAUCAGUAGCUGGGGAAACUCUUAUACAAUAAAAGUAUUGUGCCAAUUCUUUCCA